CCUACGGGAGGCAGCAGUAGGGAAUAUUGCUCAAUGGGGGAAACCCUGAAGCAGCAACGCCGCGUGGGGGAUGAAGGUUUUCGGAUUGUAAACUCCUUUUGUUAGAGAAGAUAAUGACGGUAUCUAACGAAUAAGCACGGGCUAACUCCGUCCCAGCAGCCGCGGUAAUACGGAGGGUGCAAGCGGUACGCGGAAUCACUGGGCGGAAAGAGCGCGUAGGCGGGAUAGCAAGUCAGAUGUGAAAUCCUAUGGCUUAACCAUAGAACUGCAUUUGAAACUGUUAUUCUAGAGUAUGGGAGAGGUAGGUGGAAUUCUUGGUGUAGGGGUAAAAUCCGUAGAGAUCAAGAGGAAUACUCAUUGCGAAGGCGACCUGCUAGAACAUAACUGACGCUGAUGCGCGAAAGCGUGGGGAGCAAACAGGAUUAGAUACCCGAGUAGUC
Molecule: ribosomal RNA, 440 nt
Filed under: uncultured bacterium
Lineage: Bacteria
Description: partial 16S ribosomal RNA
Rfam family: Bacterial small subunit ribosomal RNA
Source: RNAcentral